This 253-nucleotide ribosomal RNA is filed under the name uncultured bacterium. RNAcentral's name for it is "partial 16S ribosomal RNA". It matches the Rfam family "Bacterial small subunit ribosomal RNA", at positions 524 to 776 of the family's 1533-position model. The record is from RNAcentral.
UACGAAGGGGGCUAGCGUUGCUCGGAAUCACUGGGCGUAAAGGGUGCGUAGGCGGGUCUUUAAGUCAGGGGUGAAAUCCUGGAGCUCAACUCCAGAACUGCCUUUGAUACUGAGAAGCUUGAGUCCGGGAGAGGUGAGUGGAACUGCGAGUGUAGAGGUAAAAUUCGUAGAUAUUCGCAAGAACACCAGUGGCGAAGGCGGCUCACUGGCCCGGUACUGACGCUGAGGUGCGAAAGCGUGGGGAGCAAACAGG